RNAcentral lists this ribosomal RNA (337 nucleotides) under uncultured bacterium. Its description in RNAcentral is "partial 16S ribosomal RNA". It matches the Rfam family "Bacterial small subunit ribosomal RNA", at positions 338 to 692 of the family's 1533-position model. The record is from RNAcentral.
CCUACGGGUGGCAGCAGUAGGGAAUUUUCGGCAAUGGGGGAAACCCUGACGCAGCAACGCCGCGUGGAGGAUGAAGGUUUUCGGAUCGUAAACUCCUUUUGUCAGAGAAGAUAAUGCCGGUAUCUAACGAAUAAGCACUGGGUAACUCCGUGCCAGCAGCCGCGGUAAUACGGCGGGUGCAAGCGUGACUUGGGAUCACUGGGCGGAAAGAGCGCAUAGGCGGGAAAGCAAGGCAGAUGGGAAAUCCUAUGGCUUAACCAUAGAACUGCAUUUGGAACUGUUAUUCUAGAGGAUGGGUGAGGGAGAUGGGAUUCUUAGUGUAAGGGGAGAAACCGUA